CAGCCGCCGCGGUAAUACGAAGGGGGCUAGCGUUGUUCGGAUUUACUGGGCGUAAAGCGCACGUAGGCGGACUUUUAAGUCAGGGGUGAAAUCCCGGGGCUCAACCCCGGAACUGCCUUUGAUACUGGGAGUCUUGAGUUCGAGAGAGGUGAGUGGAAUUGCGAGUGUAGAGGUGAAAUUCGUAGAUAUUCGCAGGAACACCAGUGGCGAAGGCGGCUCACUGGCUCGAUACUGACGCUGAGGUGCGAAAGCGUGGGGAGCAAACAGGAUUAGAUACCCCGGUAGUCCCUGUCUCUUAUAC
This 301-nucleotide ribosomal RNA is filed under the name uncultured bacterium. RNAcentral's name for it is "partial 16S ribosomal RNA". It matches the Rfam family "Bacterial small subunit ribosomal RNA", at positions 509 to 807 of the family's 1533-position model. The record is from RNAcentral.